This is a long non-coding RNA of Mesocricetus auratus (golden hamster), 725 nucleotides long. RefSeq lists it as uncharacterized. The record is from RefSeq and is a predicted model, not a curated record. Lineage: Eukaryota; Metazoa; Chordata; Mammalia; Rodentia; Cricetidae. The transcript is spliced from 3 exons.
ACAACUUCCCACCUCCCAGCACAGUCACCCUCAUGGGAGAUGAUGAGGCUAGCAUCAGGAUAGACUGCAGGAAGGGGACAGUCUUCAGGAGGUGCUUGGUUCUGACUUCCCUGGGUUGAAUAUUGUCCUCCACAUUCAUGAACCUGAAAAUACGACUUUAUUUGGAAUGAGUGGUGGCAAGGCACUUUGAUCUGCCUUGCGUGGCGAGAGCGGCUUGGGCCCGGCUAUCCGACUGCCAAGUGUGAAAUCAGCCUGAUGUCAUCCCCAUUCUCCAUCUUUUACAUCUUUCACCAGUUUAAUUAUAUUUCCGCCACAAAGCUUCAGCACCUCAUUGCAUAUUCAAGUUUGACCAGGAAGCAUUUCUUUAAAAAGCAACCACACAGAUGCCGUGCUGGUCAGCAGAAGCAAGCAAAAUGUGGGUGCCUGGAGGACGGAGGCACCUGCGCUGGGAGGAUGCACCUGCGCUGGGAGGAUGCACCUGCGCUGGGAGGAUGCACCUGCGCUGGGAGGAUGCACUUGCGCUGGGAGGAUGCAGCAGCUGCGAGCAAACCUAGGGAGGAGGGUUAGCUGGUGAGCCUCCCGCGUGCUGAGCCUAUUCAGGACCAAGCCUUUGUGCUCAUUAGCUCACAAAAAGCCCUUGCAGGAAACUCAUUAGGUAGAUGUUCUUUCUGUUUGGAAAAGAAUGACUCCACUCCAGGGGAGUCUAUAACACACCAGCUCAGAAA